GACGAACGCUGGCGGCGUGCUUAACACAUGCAAGUCGAACGGAAAGGCCCUGCUUUUGUGGGGUGCUCGAGUGGCGUACGGGUGAGUAACACGUGAGUAACCUGCCCUUGACUUUGGGAUAACUUCAGGAAACUGGGGCUAAUACCGGAUAGGAGCUCCUGCUGCAUGGUGGGGGUUGGAAAGUUUCGGCGGUUGGGGAUGGACUCGCGGCUUAUCAGCUUGUUGGUGGGGUAGUGGCUUACCAAGGCUUUGACGGGUAGCCGGCCUGAGAGGGUGACCGGCCACAUUGGGACUGAGAUACGGCCCAGACUCCUACGGGAGGCAGCAGUGGGGAAUAUUGCACAAUGGGCGGAAGCCUGACGCAGCAACGCCGCGUGCGGGAUGACGGCCUUCGGGUUGUAAACCGCUUUCGCCUGUGACGAAGCGUGAGUGACGGUAAUGGGUAAAGAAGCACCGGCUAACUACGUG
RNAcentral lists this ribosomal RNA (468 nucleotides) under uncultured bacterium. RNAcentral's name for it is "partial 16S ribosomal RNA". It matches the Rfam family "Bacterial small subunit ribosomal RNA", at positions 28 to 507 of the family's 1533-position model. The record is from RNAcentral.